Molecule: ribosomal RNA, 1187 nt
Filed under: Tanystylum sp. JZ-2022
Lineage: Eukaryota; Metazoa; Arthropoda; Pycnogonida; Pantopoda; Tanystylidae
Description: 16S ribosomal RNA
Rfam family: Archaeal large subunit ribosomal RNA (bases 970-1131)
Source: RNAcentral
AUAAUAUAAUUAUUUUAUUUUAAUGUUUUAGUUGAUUUAUUUAUUAAGAAAUAUAUUUUAUUAUUAUAUAUUUAAUAUUAUUAAAAAAUUUAUAGUUUAUUAGUACUUUUAAGGAAUUAUGUGAAUAUUACGAUAGAUUUUUUAAUAUUAGUACCUUUUGUAUCAGGGUCUAAUAAUUUUAGUUUUUAUUAUUUUGUUCUCUAAUAUAAAAUUGAGUUAUUUUAUUUUUAUUUAUUUGUUUCAUUAAAUAGAUUGUAAGGUAAAAUAGAGAUGAAAUGUUUUUCGAGAUUUAAGAUUUAUAGUUAUGUGAUAAAUAAUUAUUUAAGGGUUAAGUUUUAUUAAGUAAAGUUUAUAAUUAAUAUUUGAUUGAUAUAUUUAGUAUUGAUAUUGUAGAUUAUUUGAAGUGUGUAUUUAUUUAAGUUUAUUAAAAAUUAAAUUGGAAGGAUUUAUUUGAUUUAUAUAAUUUAAUUUUUGUUUUUAUUAAUAAUAUUAGAAUUAGUAUAAUUUUUUUUUGAUAGUAUAAAAUUUUUGAAAAUAUGAAUUAAGGAAUUCGGCAAGUUUAAUUUUUUGCCUGUUUAACAAAAACAUGGCCUUCCGAGAGGAAUUAUUGAGUGUAUGGAAGGUCGGUCCUGCUCAAUGAAUAUAUUUAAAUAGCCGCAGUAAAUUGACUGUGCUAAGGUAGCAUAAUAAUUUGUCUUUUAAUUGAAGACUGGAAUGAAGGGGUUGACGAGAAAAUUUCUGUCUCAUUUUUUAUAUUUUGAAUUUAUUAUUAAAGUUAAAAAUCUUAUUAAUGUUUUUGAGGGACGAAAAGACCCUAUCAAGUUUGAUAUUAUAAAUGUUUUAUUUCUAUCUAAUUUAUUUUAUGUUAUUUGUUUGGGGCGGAAUUAAUAGAAUAUCUUUUAUUAAUGGUAAUGGUUAUAGUCUAUAAUAGGAUCUAAUUUUAUUAAUUAGAUGAUAAAUUACUGUAGGGAUAACAGAGUAAUUCUUUUUUAGAGUUCAAAUUGAUAAAAGAGAUUGCUACCUCGAUGUUGGGUUAAAGUAACUUAUUGAGUGAAGACGCUAAUAAUAAGUGAGUCUGUUCGACUUUUAAAUUUUUACAUGAUCUGAGUUCAGACCGGCGUGAGCCAGGUCAGAUUUUAUCUUUAAGAAUUUUUAUUUUGGUAAUUUUAGUACGAAAGGACAAAGUU